GGCGCCUUAGGAUGAAUCUGCGGCCUAUCAGGUUGUAGUGGGUGUAACGUACCUACUAGCCGACGACGGGUACGGGUUGUGAGAGCAAGAGCCCGGAGAUGGAUUCUGAGACAUGAAUCCAGGCCCUACGGGGCGCAGCAGGCGCGAAAACUUUACAAUGCGGGAAACCGCGAUAAGGGGACACUGAGUGCCAGCAUACAAUGUUGGCUGUCCGCAUGUAUAAAUAGCAUGUGUUAGCAAGGGCCGGGCAAGACCGGUGCCAGCCGCCGCGGUAACACCGGCGGCCCGAGUGGUGGCCACUAUUAUUGGGUCUAAAGGGUCCGUAGCCGGUUUGAUCAGUCUUCCGGGAAAUCUGACAGCUCAACUGUUAGGCUUCCGGGGGAUACUGUCAGACUUGGGACCGGGAGAGGUAAGAGGUACUACAGGGGUAGGAGUGAAAUCUUGUAAUCCUUGUGGGACCACCAGUGGCGAAGGCGUCUUACCAGAACGGGUCCGACGGUGAGGGACGAAAGCUGGGGGCACGAACCGGAUUAGAUACCCGGGUAGUCCCAGCCGUAAACGAUGCUCGCUAGGUGUCUGGGAUGGUGCGACCGUUUCAGGUGCCGCAGGGAAGCCGUGAAGCGAGCCACCUGGGAAGUACGGCCGCAAGGCUGAAACUUAAAGGAAUUGGCGGGGGAG
RNAcentral lists this ribosomal RNA (678 nucleotides) under uncultured Methanolobus sp. RNAcentral describes it as "bacterial SSU rRNA". It matches the Rfam family "Archaeal small subunit ribosomal RNA", at positions 198 to 876 of the family's 1478-position model. Lineage: Archaea; Methanobacteriati; Methanobacteriota; Methanomicrobia; Methanosarcinales; Methanosarcinaceae. The record is from RNAcentral.